Sabethes cyaneus is the source of this 819-nucleotide long non-coding RNA. RefSeq lists it as uncharacterized. The record is from RefSeq and is a predicted model, not a curated record. The transcript is spliced from 3 exons. Lineage: Eukaryota; Metazoa; Arthropoda; Insecta; Diptera; Culicidae.
UUACAUUAAAGUAUCAUUCGAUAAUUUUUAACAGUAAGCUUAAAUUCAGAUAAAUCGUAGUUAAAUUCAACGCUAAAUUUCAGGUUCGUUUCCCAGUCCUAGCUCAACUCACUCAACAGACUAGUUUUAUUGCGUCCACCGUCAUUCUGGAUGGAAAUGUUAAUGUUUCAUUUAUUUCUCCACUCUUUCCGAGGUAAUUCGUUUGUAGUUGGAAGCGUAGUUUUUUACUGGCACAUUUCGACUACACACUGUUGCUGCUGCUGCUGCUGCAGCCCCUGGUUCUGUCAUCGCCACCCGGUCCGGUCCGGUCUGUUUCGGAAGCAAACCAGCCGCCAUAGAGACGACACAUUCUGUUGUUGGGUUGUUGCUUCUUCGUCGCCUGGAUCUAGCAGGAGCGAGGAGGCGCUCAAGUCCACAGAAAUAGUUGUGCUGUAUAUACCUAGUAGGUACUAGGGUUUUGUACCGAACGAAAGAUGAUCAUUAUCGUGCAGGCAGGACUGGCCCGGUUCGAGGUUUUUCCUAGCUCGGAUUCACCCGCACACAAAAUCCCGGUUGCAUUCCUUGCUUUACGGAUGUACGGUCACCGCAGUGUAUGUAAGAUAUUCGCUGUUUUUCUUGCGCAACUGGAAGGCUGGAACUCUUUCUCUCAUUUAAGAAAUGAGUUUAUGGUUUCGCUUUAAAUCAAUUCAGUUCGACGAGAUAUUGCUUGAUCACGAUGGGGAGUUAUUGUCCAAUUCAACUCGAAUGUUGUUGCGCUGUCAUCGGUUGUUUCAUAGGGCUUUCGUUGGUAAGAUUGUAAUUGUUUAUUGUCUGUAGUAA